GAACAAGCACCUGGCCGACAACCGUGGAAAGAUUGAAAUGCUUUGCUCAAAGAUACGGUGUCCUGCUGAAUCUAAUCCUUCAUGGAGAUGGCAUUACUAUCAACCCUGGAAGGAUCCUGCUGCGCCGCGCACGGAGAUGGAGCGCUUGGAAGAGGAGCAGGCCUGCCGGAGCCUCUUGAUCCUAUUUUCUAAUGCCUUCAGUGCCUCCCUGCCGGAAUUUCGGGUACUGUCACUAGAUGAUGUUGAAAAAUCUGGCCUGUUCCAGUCGGAAAGGGAGUCCAUGGUUAAGCAGAAACAUUGCGAUUAGUUUGCUGAAGCAGUAAGAUGAACCGCAGUAAGAUGAACCUAAGACUGCUAUAUUCCCACAUUUGACCUGUGUACAAGUCAUAGAAUUGUUGGUGUUUAAAGGAAUGCUUGGUCCUCAGUGGGAUCAAGUAGAGCUCCGUGCACAGAGCUUAACGGGACUGCCGAACGCAACCAUGUUCGACACUUGAACAAUUUUGGUCUGGCAUUCACUGCUGUUCUCCUUUCGAUUGUAUAGGGCAUCUACUGUUGUACAA
Setaria italica (foxtail millet) is the source of this 560-nucleotide long non-coding RNA. RefSeq lists it as uncharacterized. NCBI's taxonomy places the organism in Eukaryota, Viridiplantae, Streptophyta, Magnoliopsida, Poales, Poaceae. The transcript is spliced from 2 exons. The record is from RefSeq and is a predicted model, not a curated record.